This is a small nucleolar RNA of Dipodomys ordii (Ord's kangaroo rat), 86 nucleotides long. Ensembl annotates it as small nucleolar RNA, C/D box 71. Its record names the gene Snord71. The record is from Ensembl. NCBI's taxonomy places the organism in Eukaryota, Metazoa, Chordata, Mammalia, Rodentia, Heteromyidae.
UGUGUGCUGGAGGAUGAAAAUAAGGAGUGAUCCAUCGGCUAAGUGUCUCAACACAAUGCUGAAGCUCAAAUUACUGACAGCACACA